CGUACCGUCCAAACGUUAUUCGGAAUUACUGGGCUUAAAGGGUAUGUAGGCGGCGCUGUUAGUCGGGUGUGAAAUCCCAGGGCUCAACCCUGGAACUGCGCCCGAUACUGCAGUGCUUGAGGGAGACAGAGGUAAGCGGAACUGAUGGUGGAGCGGUGAAAUGCGUUGAUAUCAUCAGGAACACCGGUGGCGAAAGCGGCUUACUGGGUCUCUUCUGACGCUGAGAUACGAAAGCUAGGGGAGCGAAGGGGAUUAGAUACCCCCGUAGUCCUAGCCGUAAACUCUGUGCACUUGAUCGAGGGCCCCCCAUAGGCUCUCGGUCGUAGCGAAAGUGUUAAGUGCACCGCCUGGGGAGUAUGGUCGCAAGGCUG
This 371-nucleotide ribosomal RNA is filed under the name uncultured organism. RNAcentral's name for it is "bacterial SSU rRNA". It matches the Rfam family "Bacterial small subunit ribosomal RNA", at positions 526 to 896 of the family's 1533-position model. The record is from RNAcentral.